This 1858-nucleotide long non-coding RNA is filed under the name Nicotiana benthamiana. Its description in RNAcentral is "long non-coding RNA (NBEN_LNC010076)". Lineage: Eukaryota; Viridiplantae; Streptophyta; Magnoliopsida; Solanales; Solanaceae. The record is from RNAcentral.
CUUUGUGGACAGGAGUUCAGGUAAUCAUUUGGUAUUUCAUCAUCACCUUGGAUGAAGCUACGCACAAAACCAUUUUGUACUUUACCAUAUGCAAUUCAAUCUGCCUUGAUUUCCUGGUUGUAUUAUGGGGCAAAGGAUGAUACUCUCAGAUAGUUUAGUACCCUCAAAAUUCCAGGACACAAUAGCAGUGAAAUACUCUGUCGCUGACUCAAAACUUUUUGGUGAACUAAUGUGCCCUAUUCUGUAUAGAAAUCAUUUCUGAUAAAUUAUCCAGUUGUUCAUACCAAUCAAGGAAAGACUUGAAAAAGUGACAACAAAUAGAAACAGCUAAAGGAAAGUUCUGCUAUUUCUGCGCAAAAGAGAAUCACAUCUUAUACCAUACAGGCAUAACUGUAGAAGAGUUCCAUAAUCAUAACCUGUGAAAUUUAUUCCCAAAAAGCUGGAUUGAAGAGUCAGUUUUUCAACAUUUUCCUAGCCUUCGGAUAAUUGGAAUAUUGCGCAAUCCGUCCUUUCAACUUUCCCUGCAGGAAAAUUUUUCCUGGCAAAUCUACAAGGAUAUUUAAGUUAUAACAUAAACAUUUUACUUCCCUUUGAACUUUUCUUUUGGUAUUCAAACAAACAAUUACAAGAACAUUAUUUUUCUUGUCUUUCCUUUACUUCAUCUUUCUUAAGAACACAUUUUCUCUUUUCUCUUUGGACAUUCAAAGUGAAACCAAACAAAACGAAGUAGUAAAAGGUUUCUGAGCAAUUGCUUCUAUCUGUGGCAGAAGUUAAAAUUAAAACAUCCUUAUAACAGAAAAUGAAGUUAUAAUUAAAACAUACUGAAUGAAUUUCAUUUUUGCUAUUUUUUGUACAGUUUGUUUUUAUUUCUCAUAUACUAAUCAAACAAUCAACAACUCCUCAAUCCAAACCAAUUAGGUUCAGUUAUAUGAUUAUUUCAUUCUAGUACUAACUGAAACGACUUUAAAGACAAGUGGGGGUUUUUAACUCUCGUCCUUAUUCCUACAUUGAUAUACAAGUCCUAACUAGAUUAUAAGGACUCCCGACAAAAAUAACAAAAAUAAACUAAAGAGUUAAUCACCACUAGUUGGUAUCACUUAUAUGCAGCUGUACACCCCAAUAGUAACCAUACAAGACCGAUAUACACGAUCCAUCACAAUGGAGAAUAACAAGGCAUAUCCAAAUAAGGGGCAAAAUAUGAUGACACAUAUGAAUAGAUAGAACCCGGAUCAAAUAAUACAGAAGCAGCUUUAUGACAAACCGAAACAAUACAUGUGAUUACAAUAUCUCAUGCCACCGCCUUGGGUCUACCCGGAAAAGCAAAGCAACGAGCCUAACCACCACCGAUUUGGGAAUCCAUAACGGGAUUCAAUUAUUUCUAGGAAUCCUAGGUAAUUAUUUUUACCCUAAUUGCACCGUGUAAUUUGGGGAGGAAGGGGAUUCAAUUGAACCACUUCCUUACCUUUAGCUCCCCCAUUUUAUGGGGUCCUUAACUUUUAUUAUUAUGUCUUAGUCUUAUUCUUAGUUAAUUUCACAUUAAAUCUGCGAGGUUAUAUGUUACAUUAUCAACUUGUAGCACAUUCAUCAGAAUAGUGAUUUGGACGUCUACAUCUGUAAGGCAAAACCAUCUCAGUCAACCUAUCUUUGUUUUAUCGUCUACGUUCUAUAUGUAACUGCAAUAUAGAAGAGUAAAGUUGAAUUUUUCGUACGUUGGUUAGACAUCGAUGAAAUUCAUAAAAGCAUUACCUGAGACGGGCGAGGCGAAAAAACGGUGACGAAAGAUGUAGCGUCGGUGGCCGAUGUCGACAAAAAAAACAAAAAGGAAAAAGUGUUAAGAGAAUGAAUGUCUAUGUUGUAG